RNAcentral lists this transfer RNA (77 nucleotides) under Alphaproteobacteria bacterium. Its description in RNAcentral is "tRNA-Pro". It matches the Rfam family "tRNA". From Rfam's summary of the family: Transfer RNA (tRNA) molecules are approximately 80 nucleotides in length. Their secondary structure includes four short double-helical elements and three loops (D, anti-codon, and T loops). The record is from RNAcentral. Lineage: Bacteria; Pseudomonadati; Pseudomonadota; Alphaproteobacteria.
CGGGGUGUAGCUCAGCCUGGUAGAGCGCCUGCUUUGGGAGCAGGAAGUCGCUGGUUCGAAUCCAGUCGCCCCGACCA